RNAcentral lists this ribosomal RNA (528 nucleotides) under uncultured bacterium. RNAcentral describes it as "bacterial SSU rRNA". It matches the Rfam family "Bacterial small subunit ribosomal RNA", at positions 390 to 920 of the family's 1533-position model. The record is from RNAcentral.
AGUCUCAGCGCGUGCGGGAUGAAGGGGCUUAGCCUCGUAAACCGCUGUCGGAGGGGACGAAUGGUACAUUUGAUGUACUGAGACGGUACCCUCAAAGGAAGGAUCGGCUAACUACGUGCCAGCAGCCGCGGUAAUACGUAGGAUCCGAGCGUUGUCCGGAAUUACUGGGUGUAAAGGGUGCGUAGGCGGACUUGUGCGUCAGAGGUGAAAUCCACGGGCUUAACCCGUGGGGUGCCUUUGAUACGGCAAGUCUUGAGUGCGAGAGAGGUGGGUGGAAUUCCUGGUGUAGCAGUGAAAUGCGUAGAUAUCAGGAGGAACACCGAUGGCGAAGGCAGCCCACCGGCUCGCAACUGACGCUGAGGCACGAAAGCGUGGGGAUCAAACAGGAUUAGAUACCCUGGUAGUCCACGCCUUAAACGAUGUAUGCUUGGUGUUGGGUCGCAAGACUCAGUGCCGGAGGAAACCUAUUAAGCAUACCACCUGGGGAGUACGAUCGCAAGGUUGAAACUCAAAGGAAUUGACGGGGGC